RNAcentral lists this ribosomal RNA (433 nucleotides) under uncultured bacterium. RNAcentral's name for it is "partial 16S ribosomal RNA". It matches the Rfam family "Bacterial small subunit ribosomal RNA", at positions 29 to 507 of the family's 1533-position model. The record is from RNAcentral.
AGCGAACGCUGGCGGCAGGCUUAACACAUGCAAGUCGAGCGGGCACUUCGGUGUCAGCGGCAGACGGGUGAGUAACACGUGGGAACGUACCCUUCGGUUCGGAAUAACGCUGGGAAACUAGCGCUAAUACCGGAUACGCCCUUUUGGGGAAAGGUUUACUGCCGAAGGAUCGGCCCGCGUCUGAUUAGCUAGUUGGUGGGGUAAUGGCCUACCAAGGCGACAAUCAGUAGCUGGUCUGAGAGGAUGAUCAGCCACACUGGGACUGAGACACGGCCCAGACUCCUACGGGAGGCAGCAGUGGGGAAUAUUGGACAAUGGGCGCAAGCCUGAUCCAGCCAUGCCGCGUGAGUGAUGAAGGCCUUAGGGUUGUAAAGCUCUUUUGUCCGGGACGAUAAUGACGGUACCGGAAGAAUAAGCCCCGGCUAACUUCGUG